UAAAAAAGCAAGACAAAAAACAAAACACAAAAGCACUACAUGUGAGAUGCCACACAGCCAUACUGGCUCACCACAAGAACAGCACCCAAGUUUAGUGGAGUUUAGGGGAGGUUAGUGGAGUUUAGUGGAGUUUAGGGGAGGUUAGUGGAGUUUAGGGGAGUUAGUGGAGUUUAGUGGAGGUUAGUGGAGUUUAGUGGAGUUUAGGGGAGUUUAGUGGAGUUUAGGGGAGGUUAGUGGAGUUUAGGGGAGGUUAGUGGAGUUUAGGGGAGUUUAGUGGAGUUUAGUGGAGGUUAGUGGAGGUUAGUGGAGUUUAGUGGAAGUUAGUGGAGGUUAGUGGAGUUCAGGGAGGUUAGU
Molecule: long non-coding RNA, 354 nt
Organism: Ictalurus punctatus (channel catfish)
Lineage: Eukaryota; Metazoa; Chordata; Actinopteri; Siluriformes; Ictaluridae
Source: Ensembl